This 116-nucleotide ribosomal RNA is filed under the name Pteropus alecto (black flying fox). Lineage: Eukaryota; Metazoa; Chordata; Mammalia; Chiroptera; Pteropodidae. The record is from RNAcentral.
GUCUAUGGCCAUGCCACCCUGAACAAGCCCGAUGGCUGAUCUCGGAAGCUAAGCAGGGUCAGGCCUGGUUAGUACUUGGAUGGGAAACCACCUAGGAAGACCAGAUGCUGUAGGCA